Molecule: ribosomal RNA, 241 nt
Filed under: uncultured bacterium
Lineage: Bacteria
Description: partial 16S ribosomal RNA
Rfam family: Bacterial small subunit ribosomal RNA
Source: RNAcentral
GAUCCUGGCUCAGGACGAACGCUGGCGGCGUGCCUAAUACAUGCAAGUAGAACGCACAGGAUGCACCGUAGUUUACUACACCGUAUUCUGUGAGUUGCGAACGGGUGAGUAACGCGUAGGUAACCUGCCUGGUAGCGGGGGAUAACUAUUGGAAACGAUAGCUAAUACCGCAUAAGAACAUUUACUGCAUGGUAGAUGUUUAAAAGGUGCAAAAGCAUCACUACCAGAUGGACCUGCGUUG